GGGGUGUUAGCUCAGCGGUAGAGCGCUAUCUUCACACGGUAGAUGUCGCUGGUUCGAAUCCAGCACACCCCACCA
This 75-nucleotide transfer RNA is filed under the name Candidatus Poribacteria bacterium. RNAcentral describes it as "tRNA-Val". It matches the Rfam family "tRNA". Rfam says of the family: Transfer RNA (tRNA) molecules are approximately 80 nucleotides in length. Their secondary structure includes four short double-helical elements and three loops (D, anti-codon, and T loops). Further hydrogen bonds mediate the characteristic L-shaped molecular structure. tRNAs have two regions of fundamental functional importance: the anti-codon, which is responsible for specific mRNA codon recognition, and the 3' end, to which the tRNAs corresponding amino acid is attached (by aminoacyl-tRNA synthetases). tRNAs cope with the degeneracy of the genetic code in two manners: having more than one tRNA (with a specific anti-codon) for a particular amino acid; and 'wobble' base-pairing, i.e. permitting non-standard base-pairing at the 3rd anti-codon position. Lineage: Bacteria; Candidatus Poribacteria. The record is from RNAcentral.